RNAcentral lists this ribosomal RNA (170 nucleotides) under Clostridia bacterium. Its description in RNAcentral is "partial 23S ribosomal RNA". It matches the Rfam family "Bacterial large subunit ribosomal RNA", at positions 2756 to 2925 of the family's 2925-position model. The record is from RNAcentral. Lineage: Bacteria; Bacillati; Bacillota; Clostridia.
CGAAUGUGAUAAACGCUGAAAGCAUCUAAGCGUGAAACACACCUCAAGAUUAGAUAUCUCCAACAUUAAGUUGAUAAGGUCACUUGUAGACUACAAGUUUGAUAGGUCGGAGGUGUAAGUACAGUAAUGUAUUCAGCUGACCGAUACUAAUAGACCGAACGCUUGAACUA